This 329-nucleotide unclassified non-coding RNA is filed under the name soil metagenome. Its description in RNAcentral is "partial contains 5.8S ribosomal RNA, internal transcribed spacer 2, and large subunit ribosomal RNA". The stretch from base 1 to 120 matches the Rfam family "5.8S ribosomal RNA", at positions 35 to 154 of the family's 154-position model. The record is from RNAcentral.
GAUGAAGAACGCAGCGAAAUGCGAUACGUAGUGUGAAUUGCAGAAUUCAGUGAAUCAUCGAAUCUUUGAACGCACAUUGCGCCCCUUGGUAUUCCGAGGGGCAUGCCUGUUUGAGCGUCAUUAUAACCCCUCAAGCUCAGCUUGGUGUUGGGGCCUGCUGCACUGGCAGCCCUUAAAAUCAGUGGCGGCGCCAUCUGGCUCUAAGCGUAGUAAUUCUUCUCGCUAUGGAGUCCUGGUGGAUGCUUGCCAUCAACCCCCAAUUUUUCUAUGGUUGACCUCGGAUCAGGUAGGGAUACCCGCUGAACUUAAGCAUAUCAAUAAGCGGAGGA